RNAcentral lists this ribosomal RNA (1357 nucleotides) under Phaeoacremonium fraxinopennsylvanicum. Its description in RNAcentral is "eukaryotic LSU rRNA". It matches the Rfam family "Eukaryotic large subunit ribosomal RNA", at positions 48 to 1441 of the family's 3401-position model. Lineage: Eukaryota; Fungi; Ascomycota; Sordariomycetes; Togniniales; Togniniaceae. The record is from RNAcentral.
UAGCGGAGGAAGAAACAACAGGGAUUGCCCCAGUAACGGCGAGUGAAGCGGCAACAGCUCAAAUUUGAAAUCUUGGCCUCGGCCCGAGUUGUAAUUUGCAGAGGAUGUUUCUGGCGCGGUGCCUUCUGAGUUCCCUGGAACGGGACGCCAUAGAGGGUGAGAGCCCCGUACGGUUGGACGCCUAGCCUGUGUGAAACUCCUUCGACGAGUCGAGUAGUUUGGGAAUGCUGCUCAAAAUGGGAGGUAUAUCUCUUCUAAAGCUAAAUAUUGGCCAGAGACCGAUAGCGCACAAGUAGAGUGAUCGAAAGAUGAAAAGCACCUUGAAAAGGGGGUUAAACAGCACGUGAAAUUGUUGAAAGGGAAGCGCCCAUGACCAGACUUGUGCCCGGCGGAUCACCCAGCGUUCUCGCUGGGGCACUCCGCCGGGUCCAGGCCAGCAUCGGUUUUCGCCGGGGGAUAAAGGCUCUGGGAACGUAGCUCCUCCGGGAGUGUUAUAGCCCUCUGCGUAAUACCCUGGCGGGGACCGAGGUACGCGCUCCGCAAGGAUGCUGGCGUAAUGGUCAUCAGCGACCCGUCUUGAAACACGGAUCAAGGAGUCGUCCAUUAGAGCGAGCGUUUGGGUGUCAAACCCGCACGCGUAAUGAAAGUGAACGUAGGUGAGAGCUUCGGCGCAUCAUCGACCGAUCCUGAUGUCCUCGGAUGGAUUUGAGUAUGAGUUUUACUGGACGGACCCGAAAGAUGGUGAACUAUGCCUGUAUAGGGUGAAGCCAGAGGAAACUCUGGUGGAGGCUCGCAGCGGUUCUGACGUGCAAAUCGAUCGUCAAAUAUGGGCAUGGGGGCGAAAGACUAAUCGAACCAUCUAGUAGCUGGUUACCGCCGAAGUUUCCCUCAGGAUAGCAGUGUGUUGAUCUUCAGUUUUAUGAGGUAAAGCGAAUGAUUAGGGACUCGGGGGCGCUAUUUAGCCUUCAUCCAUUCUCAAACUUUAAAUAUGUAAGAAGCCCUUGUUACUUAGUUGAACGUGGGCAUUCGAAUGUACCAACACUAGUGGGCCAUUUUUGGUAAGCAGAACUGGCGAUGCGGGAUGAACCGAACGCGGGGUUAAGGUGCCGGAGUGGACGCUCAUCAGACACCACAAAAGGCGUUAGUACAUCUUGACAGCAGGACGGUGGCCAUGGAAGUCGGAAUCCGCUAAGGACUGUGUAACAACUCACCUGCCGAAUGUACUAGCCCUGAAAAUGGAUGGCGCUCAAGCGUCCCACCCAUACCCCGCCCUCAGGGUAGAAUCGAUGCCCUGAGGAGUAGGCGGCCGUGGGGGUCAGUGACGAAGCCUAAGGGCUGAGCCCGGUCGACGCCCUUG